UGGGAACCUUCCCUAUGGUUCGGAAUAGCUCAGGGAAACUUGGGGUAAUACCGGAUAAGCCCUUCGGGGGAAAGAUUUAUCGCCAUUGGAUGGGCCCGCGUCGGAUCAGCUAGUUGGUGAGGUAACGGCUCACCAAGGCAACGACGGGUAGCUGGUCUGAGAGGAUGGCCAGCCACAUUGGGACUGAGACACGGCCCAGACUCCUACGGGAGGCAG
RNAcentral lists this ribosomal RNA (216 nucleotides) under uncultured bacterium. RNAcentral's name for it is "partial 16S ribosomal RNA". It matches the Rfam family "Bacterial small subunit ribosomal RNA", at positions 118 to 351 of the family's 1533-position model. The record is from RNAcentral.